Long non-coding RNA from Gossypium raimondii (Peruvian cotton), 2327 nucleotides. RefSeq lists it as uncharacterized. The transcript has 4 exons. The record is from RefSeq and is a predicted model, not a curated record. NCBI's taxonomy places the organism in Eukaryota, Viridiplantae, Streptophyta, Magnoliopsida, Malvales, Malvaceae.
UAAUCUUUUUCAGCUUGACUUGAUUCACAGCUCUUCCAUUCACUGUAGCUUAUAUACACUCAUAAACUUUGAUGGGUUUUUUUAUUAUACAUCUAUUUGCACGAUUAUAGAAAUGGUGCCGUUGAACUUUCUACUGUGGUUAAGAUUUUAUGGUUAAAAAGAAAAAGGGGGAAAAAGAAAGAAAAUUCUAUAGCUGACAGGCACUUGACUGAAAUGUUAAGCAAAAGCAUAUCGCAUGAUUGCUUGAAAGUUAGAAGCAUAUCAUUUACUUGAAGUAACUAUGAUUUUUAUUUGUCUUUCUCUCCGACAAUUGAUAUCAUUCAACUUAAGACUUUUGGGAUUUUUUUUACUGUGACCUUUGCUUUUCUUUUGGUAUCUGUUUAAAAACGUCUGUGCUUUGCCUGGAGAUUUCAAUACUGUCAACUUUGUUUUUAUGUUGAUUUAGGUGCCAGGAAAUCUUGGGGUAUAUAUAUAUUUAUAUUUGAAUUGGAUUAUCAUAAGUGCAAAAGGAGUGUCAAAAGGUAAAGGGGGUAAAGAAUCCCGGCUAUCUACCAUCUUUUCUUAUUGUUUGGACCAUUUAUUUGACCAUUUUAUCAUUGAAAAGUAGCAUCUUGUUAUCAUGGGAUUAGAUUUGUUCCCCUUUCUAAGGUAUCAUCUAAUUUAAUUAAGAAUUGCAGAGUCAGAUUCAAUUAAGGAGACAAUUUUCUUUUCUUUUUGUCAUAAAAAACUUCAUUGUUUAUUCCUUAAACAGUUCGCCAAAGUUAUAGUUAAUAAAAGGCAUCUCAUGAAUCAAAGAAUUAGUGUUUCCAAUUACUAUAGAAAAUAAUAAAAACUUAAAGUAGGUAAGGUUUCUUUUCAUUCACUUCAACUAUAUCAUCAUGGUUUAUAUACAAGAAAAUAAAUCUACCAAUUAUUCUCUUAUAGCUUGCUUGAACUACUCAUGUUGACUCUCAGGUCUACUUCUCAUAAAUCAUUUUUUAGUCUCCUCAUAUUUAGGCUUUUGUUUCUCAAAGGCAUAUGAUUUUUACUAAGAGGCCCAAUUAUUGAAUCUGCUUUCUGUUUCAAAACCAUACAAACUAUUUAGAGUAGAUUCAUAUCUAAAUAGACCUUUGAUUAGACUCACAAAAUGUUUUGGGACCUUAAUUUGUGUACAGUGUCCCCUUUAGAAAUUUAUUUUUACAAAUAUAUCUGUAUAUUAUUCUCAAAGGUCAAAAGUGUACACCUUGUUAUGACACUAGAGGUAAAGCUAAUGCUGUAUGUUUGGACUUUAGACAUUUCUAUUAAUUAUUGUAUUUGAAACUUGGUGUUGAAGCUUUGUGGUCUGGAGUCCUUUUAUCUAGUCUUUGUAGGUUCAUCCAUAUCUAGAAUAUCUAAAAGCCAUUGAUUUGGUAUUUGAUAUCAAUUUAACAGUUGAUAUUGUUCCAUUUGCCUUCCUGUCUCCAGAAAAGAAAAAGGUAUCACUUUCUGAUCUACUGGAUAUAGAUCAUUGGUCCAAGAGAUGCCGGUUGAGUCUCAUGUAGCUUUAUUGUUUGAUUACUAUAUGAAAGUCCACAAGUGUUAAGUUAAUAAAGCCUGUAUCCUUGUAUUGUUCAAUAUCCAUGAAGUCUAUAAGAUUAAGUUUGCAAAGCUAAUAUCUCUAAUACUUUUUUUUCUAUCAAUCAAAUAAUUAUGUAGGAUUAUCUGCAUAAUUUUGUUCAAUUUUUGACCCUGAUUUCGGCAUUAUGUAACUCUUAUUUCUUUAAGUUUCUCCAUGUGAUUGGAUUCGUGAUUACCCUAAGAAUGCCAUGUGCAACAGCAAAAGAUGGUGACAGCAUAAUGGAGUUGUUUUUCUGCAGUUCAAGAAAACACUUUAUGAUCAAAUGAAGCAGUCUUGGCAUUAUUCCUGGGACAAUUAGAAGUAAGCUCAUCUUCAUCUCUUCCAAAAACCAAGAAUAUAUGUAUGACCAGGAUCCUUGAAUGAUAUUUCUGUUGGUUUUUGGCACAUCAGUAAGGAGACUACCCCCCAGUGCCUGGCUUCUGCCUAGCACAACAUUGACAGUUACAAGAUGACUAAAUAAGCAUACAGCAGCAAAGGAAAAAUUUACGAUCAACAAGCAGUGAACCAGAGGAUUGCUCCAAAAUCCACUCAGAUGCAACCAAAAGAUUCAGUGGUAGCAGUAAGUUUGUUAAAAACUAAGCUUGAGAGUUGGGAUCUGCUGUAACUUUGGGUAUGAAGUUGAUCCUUUCAACUGGUUCACACCACUUGAAAUGUAUCCAUUAACAUAUUUGAUCUGACAAUAUCUAACAACAUUCACAGUGAAAUUUAACAGAGAUUUCUUUGGAUACAA